Molecule: transfer RNA, 74 nt
Filed under: Acidimicrobiia bacterium
Lineage: Bacteria; Bacillati; Actinomycetota; Acidimicrobiia
Also listed under: 3 other names
Description: tRNA-Ala
Rfam family: tRNA
About the family: Transfer RNA (tRNA) molecules are approximately 80 nucleotides in length. Their secondary structure includes four short double-helical elements and three loops (D, anti-codon, and T loops).
Source: RNAcentral
GGGGGUGUAGCUCAGUUGGCUAGAGCACCUGCUUUGCAAGCAGGGGGUCGUGGGUUCGAGUCCCAUCUCCUCCA